CAGAUAUUAGUUUAUAAAAAUAUUAAUUUUGGAGAUUAAAGAUAAAUAGUUAUUUAUAUCUGA
RNAcentral lists this transfer RNA (63 nucleotides) under Nonarthra nigricolle. Its description in RNAcentral is "tRNA-Pro". The record is from RNAcentral. Lineage: Eukaryota; Metazoa; Arthropoda; Insecta; Coleoptera; Chrysomelidae. RNAcentral also lists the same sequence under 2 other names.